Molecule: non-coding RNA, 72 nt
Organism: Acanthaster planci (crown-of-thorns starfish)
Lineage: Eukaryota; Metazoa; Echinodermata; Asteroidea; Valvatida; Acanthasteridae
Source: the annotation of a RefSeq genome assembly
GGCUGGAUAGCUCAGUUGGUAGAGCACCGGUAUUGUAUUCCGGAGGUCGCAGGUUCAAUCCCGCUCCAGUCA